UGAUAUUUUGUUUUCUAAAAAUCAAUAAAUUUUUUCAAAUUUCCUUAAAUUAAUUUUAUUGUUAUUUUCAAAUUUACCUGAGUUAAUAACUUGAAUAGAAGAUGAAAAGUUGCCACAUCACAGUAUUUGAGGUAUCUGAAAGUCUUCUGUUUUGAAUAAAAAAAUAAGCAAAGACAAUUUGCCCUACCACCAAACACCAAACAGCUGUCCACUGUUUUCCUGCUCUUUGGCUUCUCCUCUGUAUUUUGUCAACUGUCAUGUCACCAGUUAUAACUGCCUGCGUCUGCUGUGCGCUAGUUGGUUUCUAGUCGUGGCAGUGAGACUCCACAUUCUGACGUAGGACCCAACUGCCCAGAUGUAUGGUUCAGUUCCUGUAUUGUCCCUUUGCCCACCUUACACCGGGAACAUGUCGUAAUGAAAAAGUCAUUCUUCCCUUCAUCCUCCACCUUCUAAUUGCUUGGAAUAUGGUUCUCUCAACCUUAAAAAUCGACAUCCAGCCUUACCCAGACAACUUCACAGGCAUCAACGGCUAUCAGGAUACAGUUAGCUAG
Molecule: long non-coding RNA, 551 nt
Filed under: Callithrix jacchus (white-tufted-ear marmoset)
Lineage: Eukaryota; Metazoa; Chordata; Mammalia; Primates; Cebidae
Description: lncRNA (ENSCJAG00000065247.2)
Source: RNAcentral